Callorhinchus milii (elephant shark) is the source of this 73-nucleotide non-coding RNA. NCBI's taxonomy places the organism in Eukaryota, Metazoa, Chordata, Chondrichthyes, Chimaeriformes, Callorhinchidae. The record is from the annotation of a RefSeq genome assembly.
AGUCCUGUAGCUUAGUGGUUAGAGCACUCGCCUCGAAAGCGAGAUUACCUGGGUUGGAUUCCCAGUAGGGCAA